This is a long non-coding RNA of Arachis stenosperma, 1000 nucleotides long. RefSeq lists it as uncharacterized. The record is from RefSeq and is a predicted model, not a curated record. NCBI's taxonomy places the organism in Eukaryota, Viridiplantae, Streptophyta, Magnoliopsida, Fabales, Fabaceae. The transcript is spliced from 3 exons.
GUUUUCUUACAUCUCUCUCAAAGAACGUCUCUCUCAAUUCUCAGACUGAAACUCUCUCUUCUCUCUCACACAAGCCCACUAUAGUCUCUUUCAGUCUCACUCGAAUCUCGUCUCAGUCACACUCGCCGGCAUCUCCAUGUGUCGCGGCCUUCUCUGGAAACGUCAUUGUUCGUAGUCUUCUGGUUUCGAGACGUCGCCGUAGACCGUAGUCCGUAGACCGUAGUCCGUUGAUAUUUCUAGAAAUUCUUUGCACAAGAGGCGCACCAUUGGUAGAAAGAAGAAGGUUUGAGGUUGGGAGGAAGAAGAGAAAGUUAGAGAUUAGCAAAUGCAGCAAAUAUUGGAGCACUGGGAGACAGAGUAGCAAAAUUGAAACUUACUACUUCCUUUACGGUGGAAAGGGCAACCAUCACACAAGUAGCUCAUACAUUGGCAAUGAGAGUUCCAAAUGGCAUCCAUUUAAGCAACCCUGCCUUUCCUGGCGUUGGGGGCUAUCUACUCUAUCCAUUUAAACAAUCCUGCCCUUCCUAGCAUUCGGGGCUAUCUAUUCUACAGUUUUCAGAGUUAUUACCUCUUUCUAAACACAUAUUCAACUUGUUUAGAAGCCACUUGAACCCCUUGGCAGCUUAAAUUCCAACUAUGAUGAAAAAUCCAACAAGAAAUAAGCCUGGGAAACCUCAUUUGCAAAACAAACCCACUCAGUGAUGCUAAAUGCUAAUCAUUCUACAAUCUUAUAUCCAUCAUGUCAAAUGAGAGAAUGUCAUUUAAUUCUACUGAAGUUUGCAAAAUUGUUUAGAGAUAUUCACUCAUUUUUUUUCCUAAAUCUUUACCCUAUUUAAUGUGACAUCCUAGACAAAAGAAAGUUCUAUAUAUGUUUAUUGUUAUGUAAUCCUAAUUCAGAUGGCCAUAAUUUCACACGCUAGUACAAUUCAGCAACCACGAACUAAAUCUUAACAAAUGCUCUCAAAAAAUCCAAAAUUUCAACCAUACAAACACUACAACA